This 253-nucleotide ribosomal RNA is filed under the name uncultured bacterium. RNAcentral's name for it is "partial 16S ribosomal RNA". It matches the Rfam family "Bacterial small subunit ribosomal RNA", at positions 524 to 776 of the family's 1533-position model. The record is from RNAcentral.
UACGUAGGGGGCGAGCGUUGUCCGGAAUCACUGGGCGUAAAGCGCGCGUAGGCGGGCGCUCACAUCCGCUGUGAAAGCCCCCGGCUCAACUGGGGGAGGUCGGCGGAGAUGGGGUGUCUGGAGGCGGGCAGAGGCAGGCGGAAGUCCCGAAGUAGUGGUGAAAUGCGUAGAGAUCGGGAGGAACACCAGAGGCGAAGGCGGCCUGCUGGGCCGGGCCUGACGCUGAGGCGCGAAAGCUAGGGGAGCGAACGGA